This 73-nucleotide transfer RNA is filed under the name Candidatus Riesia sp. RNAcentral's name for it is "tRNA-Arg". It matches the Rfam family "tRNA". Rfam says of the family: Transfer RNA (tRNA) molecules are approximately 80 nucleotides in length. Their secondary structure includes four short double-helical elements and three loops (D, anti-codon, and T loops). The record is from RNAcentral. Lineage: Bacteria; Pseudomonadati; Pseudomonadota; Gammaproteobacteria; Enterobacterales; Enterobacteriaceae.
AUCCCCAUCGUUUAAUUGGAAAGAUCUCUGAAUACGAAUCAGAAGACUAGGGGUUCGAAUCCUCUUGGGGAUG